RNAcentral lists this ribosomal RNA (566 nucleotides) under Trichosporon asahii. Its description in RNAcentral is "partial large subunit ribosomal RNA". It matches the Rfam family "Eukaryotic large subunit ribosomal RNA", at positions 99 to 654 of the family's 3401-position model. The record is from RNAcentral. Lineage: Eukaryota; Fungi; Basidiomycota; Tremellomycetes; Trichosporonales; Trichosporonaceae.
CGGGAAGAGCUCAAAUUUGAAAUCUGGCAGUCUUCGAUUGUCCGAGUUGUAAUCUAUAGAGGCGUUUUCCGUGCCGGACCGUGUCCAAGUCUCCUGGAAAGGAGUAUCAAAGAGGGUGAUAAUCCCGUACUUAACACGACCACCGGUGCUCUGUGAUACGUCUUCUACGAGUCGAGUUGUUUGGGAAUGCAGCUCAAAAUGGGUGGUGAAUUCCAUCUAAAGCUAAAUAUUGGCGAGAGACCGAUAGCGAACAAGUACCGUGAGGGAAAGAUGAAAAGCACUUUGGAAAGAGAGUUAAACAGUACGUGAAAUUGUUGAAAGGGAAACGAUUGAAGUCAGUCGUGUUCUUUGGAUUCAGCCAGUUCUGCUGGUCUACUUCCUUGGAACGGGUCAACAUCAGUUUUGUCCGGUGGAUAAAGGUAGUAGGAAUGUGACUUCUCCGGAAGUGUUAUAGCCUAUUAUCACAUACACUGGGUGAGACUGAGGACUGCAGCUCGCCUUUAUGGCCGGCCUUCGGGCACGUUCGAGCUUAGGAUGUUGACAUAAUGGCUUUAAACGACCCGUCU